AGGGCUCUAGGCACUGGGAAUACAGCUAUGAAUGACCCAUCUACAAGAUAAAUACCUUAAAAAGCUGCUGGAUCAGAGGAGCUUCUUAGAAGGUAUUCUGCCUUCAUAAAUUUCCAGAAGAGCAGCUUAGACCUGGCUGUACAUUCAUGGAUAUCUCCAAACUCUAGGAGAAGCUUGUCACACUCUCCCAAGAGACAUCUUACCACACUCCACUUGGAUAGUAAUCCCAGUGUGAGACAUCAGAUUGUACAAUUCAAAGCAAUAGAUACUACUGUAUAAAACUGAGAAAAUGCAGACAAGAAAAUAGCAAAGCAAAAUAAGACAACAACAAAAAAUUGGGGACAUUGAUGCUGACAGAGAAAGACCAAGGGAGCCUUUGUGACUUCAUCCAAAUGUCAUAACAAAAG
This is a long non-coding RNA of Myotis myotis, 407 nucleotides long. RefSeq lists it as uncharacterized. The transcript has 4 exons. Lineage: Eukaryota; Metazoa; Chordata; Mammalia; Chiroptera; Vespertilionidae. The record is from RefSeq and is a predicted model, not a curated record.